UUCUUAUAUGUUAGAUCAAAGAGC
This 24-nucleotide microRNA is filed under the name Gossypium raimondii (Peruvian cotton). Its description in RNAcentral is "gra-miR7484g". Lineage: Eukaryota; Viridiplantae; Streptophyta; Magnoliopsida; Malvales; Malvaceae. The record is from miRBase by way of RNAcentral.